GACGAACGCUGGCGGCGUGCUUAACACAUGCAAGUCGAACGGAAAGGCCCUGCUCUUGCUGCGUGCUCGAGUGGCGAACGCGUGUGUAACACGUGCGUAACCUGCCCUUGACUUUGGGCUAACUUCAGGAAACUGUGGCCCUUACCGGAUAGGAGCUCUUGCUGCCCGUUGGUGGUUGGUACGUUUAGUCUGUUGGGGAUGGACUGGCUGUUUACCCCCUUGUUUGUGGGGUAGUGAAUUCCCACCGUUUUGAUGGGUAGUCGACCUGCGAGGGUGACCGGGCACAUUGGUCCUGCAGUAGGCCCCAAACUCCUAUGGGAGGCAGCAGUGGGGAAUAUUGCACAAUGGUCGGAAGCCUGAUCCAGCAAGGCCGCGUGCGGAAUGACGGCCUUCGAGUUGAAAACCGCUUUGUCAUGUGACGAAGCGUGAGUGACGGUAAUGGGUAAAGAAGCACCGGCUAACUACGUG
RNAcentral lists this ribosomal RNA (468 nucleotides) under uncultured bacterium. RNAcentral's name for it is "partial 16S ribosomal RNA". It matches the Rfam family "Bacterial small subunit ribosomal RNA", at positions 28 to 507 of the family's 1533-position model. The record is from RNAcentral.